CAUAUCGAGUGACUGUCAACUUGAUUGCUCAACGUAUCGGCGAUGUCAUACUGCACGAGUGAUUACUCUUGGUACCUCGGAAAGUUCAUUAUCGGAUUUACCGGGAUGCUGUUUCUUUAUGUGGGCUUCCUGAGAGAAAACAAGAAAAGUUGUGUAUGCGGGCCGAGAAUGAGAGAAUUACUGAGACAGAAAAGCGAAAAGUGAGUCAGACUGGUCAUGCACGCGCGUCUUCCUCCGGAGGAGGUUUCGCUUCGGGGUAGAACUCGUUGCUUUAUUUCUCACGGAGUUGGACGUGCGAAAAAGGAUUACGCUUUCUAUGACCAGUGACACUGUAAUUAUGGCAUUGUCAACGUUGAUAUUAAUAAUACUCACUAAUUUCUCUACACUAGACAACCAGAUAGAUGUGGAUGCGCGAAGGGGCAAAAUGAGCGUUAUCCAUGUGGAUGUAAGAAGCCGAUGCAACUGGUGCAAGAUGAAAACGUAAUACCGAAGAUUGCGGCUGAAUAUAUUAAACGCGGUUGUGAGAAAACUUGUUGCGGAAAAAUUCUUAUUGAAGGAGAAACACGAUAAUGAAAAUAUUUUAUAAUACAUUCCUUAGACUUAGGUUACUGAGGUAACCUAAAGUAAAUCAACCGCUGCCGAUACAUAUCAAAGAACAAGUAUAAAUAUAUUGCAGGACAUUGCAAAAACGAAACGCGUGAUCACUCGAAGAUAACGAAUGAUGAAAAUUCCAUUCCUGAGUUUCUUGUAUCAAUGAUACAGAAAUCAAGCACUCCUCUAUAAUGAAUCAUGAAAUUCAAUCGUAUUUCGCAUGAUAAAAUUUGGAACCGCCACAGUAAUAAGCACAUUAUUCUUUUGAUGUGCAUUUCGAUUCGUUAUCAUAGCAAAAUUAAUUCUUCGCGAUUAAGGUGCAUGUUUCAAUUAGCAAUACGCUAUGAAUCUGAUGAGUCACACGCGUCGACGAUUCGCGAAAUAAUCGCGUUAAAAAAAGAUUCUAGUUUAGAUAGCUAAAAAUAGAAGAUUUUUACGAAUUUUUUUCAAAGAAAUCAGUAAAAAUAUCGAUAUAGGGUUUUUACCAUACUUUUUAUUAUUGUCAUAAGUACAUUAAAAAAAUUGUUUUUAAAAAAUUUUAAAUUCCAUCCAGGUUUUUUGUGUUGAGCGCGAUGUCGUCGGAUACCUCUAUUUGAUGGACAAUAUCACAGUUCGUGUAACAAUAUAAAACAAAUUAAAUAAGAAAAUUUAAAAACUGUAUUACAUUUGCUAAAAAAUAAAUCUAAAUCCUCUGGAAAAUUUCCAAAAUUAGUAUUUUUACCGACACACUAAAUG
Odontomachus brunneus is the source of this 1326-nucleotide long non-coding RNA. RefSeq lists it as uncharacterized. The transcript has 5 exons. NCBI's taxonomy places the organism in Eukaryota, Metazoa, Arthropoda, Insecta, Hymenoptera, Formicidae. The record is from RefSeq and is a predicted model, not a curated record.